GAUCAGACAUGAUACAUGGGGACAGAAACAACACAAGACAACAGUGCUGAAUGUGACAGACAUAUAUAUACACACACCAGUGCUAAUUAGCUAAACGUGAAAGAGGUGAAUGAGACGUGACAUGGUGCAGUGGCUGAUGGGAAACGUAGUUUCUAGUCCUUUUACAAUAUUAGGUGACAGAACCCCCUCCUUAACAUGUGGCUUUCAAAUCACGUAAUCAGUUCUGAGAGGGUCCUGGAUCCCCAGACCAGAUGACCUUAAGCAUUUCAGAUUUUCACUCUGUGUCCUCCCUCACAGGGCUGGAUAGAGGACGCUUGAUGUGUUCACUGAGGUUUAGAGCCUCACAUGAUUUUAUGGAGAUGUGAGUGAUCCUGAUCCUUUCUGAUCUCCGUACCUGCCUGAUCCACCCUGAUGCCCUACUUCUGGAUGGAGCUCUCAUCAACUGGAGGCUACAGUCUGAGGAUUGGUGAGGAUGGUAUUGCUCGGAGUACUAUGGAAAUGGUUUUGGACCUCAAUUUCACAUGGACGUUCUCGCUGUGGUUGCUGGGAAUACGGUUGCUGCAAUGGCCUUGGGACUGCAAUUACCACACGCAGUUUUGCACUCUGGUCUCCUUUAGUGAACAGUGGACUAGUUCAACAAAAAGACUUCACGUAAAAACCAUAAUGAACUUUCUUUUACUUUCACUGUUCACUAAAGGGUUCCAGAGUGAAACACAUUCGUUCAAGUGUUUUCUGGUUCCAAGCAAAUGGUGCACUGGAACGAUGGAAUCGUGUUUUGAAGAACUGUAUCCAAAUAGCUGAAACACAACAAACAUAACAAUGAGAGUGUCACCAUUUGAGCUUUUGAAAGGGAGGAAAAUACAUACAAAAUUGAACACCACACCUGUCACACCUAUGUCUAGGGAGAAUGUGAAAAAGAGCAUACAUGACCAUGUACACAGGAUUCAAGAGAAAAUGAAACAGUACACUGUUAAUAAACGUGGAGCUAAAACACCAUUAUUGAAAUGUGGAGACCGUGUACGUGUAAGAAAACCAAUGCAUAUAUCUAAAGCUGGAAUGAAAUUCACUGCUCCCUUGUCAGUAUAUAAGAAACUUGGACCAAGCACUUAUGUGUUGAGCGAUUGUAAGAAGUGCAAUGCAGCG
Ictalurus punctatus (channel catfish) is the source of this 1143-nucleotide long non-coding RNA. The record is from Ensembl. NCBI's taxonomy places the organism in Eukaryota, Metazoa, Chordata, Actinopteri, Siluriformes, Ictaluridae.